CGUUAUGGCGGCUGUGCGUGGGAGACCUUAGGGUCUGCCGGGUUUCCGUUUCCCGGGUUCCAGCCUGCGUACAGCUGCCACCCUU
RNAcentral lists this non-coding RNA (85 nucleotides) under Pseudomonas sp. IT-P291. Lineage: Bacteria; Pseudomonadati; Pseudomonadota; Gammaproteobacteria; Pseudomonadales; Pseudomonadaceae. The record is from RNAcentral.